AAACUUUCAACAACGGAUCUCUUGGCUCCAGCAUCGAUGAAGAACGCAGCGAAACGCGAUAUGUAAUGUGAAUUGCAGAAUUCAGUGAAUCAUCGAAUCUUUGAACGCACAUGGCGCCUUCCAGUAUCCUGGGAGGCAUGCCUGUCCGAGCGUCGUUUCAACCCUCGAGCCCUCGUGGCCCGGCGUUGGGG
This 191-nucleotide ribosomal RNA is filed under the name Paragibellulopsis chrysanthemi. Its description in RNAcentral is "Gibellulopsis chrysanthemi 5.8S ribosomal RNA". The stretch from base 2 to 155 matches the Rfam family "5.8S ribosomal RNA". From Rfam's summary of the family: 5.8S ribosomal RNA (5.8S rRNA) is a component of the large subunit of the eukaryotic ribosome. It is transcribed by RNA polymerase I as part of the 45S precursor that also contains 18S and 28S rRNA. The record is from RNAcentral. Lineage: Eukaryota; Fungi; Ascomycota; Sordariomycetes; Glomerellales; Plectosphaerellaceae.